UCCGUAGGUGGAUAAGUAAGUCAGAGGUGAAAUCCUGCAGCUCAACUGUAGAAUUGCCUUUGAUACUGGUUAUCUUGAGUUAUUAUGAAGUAGUUAGAAUAUGUAGUGUAGCGGUGAAAUGCAUAGAUAUUACAUAGAAUACCAAUUGCGAAGGCAGAUUACUAAUACUCAACUGACACUGAUGGACGAAAGCGUGGGUAGCAAACAGGAUUAGAUACCCUGGUAGUCC
Molecule: ribosomal RNA, 229 nt
Filed under: uncultured bacterium
Lineage: Bacteria
Description: partial 16S ribosomal RNA
Rfam family: Bacterial small subunit ribosomal RNA
Source: RNAcentral